This 260-nucleotide long non-coding RNA is filed under the name Bos taurus (domestic cattle). RNAcentral describes it as "long non-coding RNA NONBTAT024914". Lineage: Eukaryota; Metazoa; Chordata; Mammalia; Artiodactyla; Bovidae. The record is from RNAcentral.
AUGAUAGUGGAGUUUCCCACAUCAAGAUGCUGUAUUUUAAGCUUUUCUGUCAAUUUUGAGAAAGCCAUCAUCUACCUAGACAUGAAUUUUGAGUUAUAAUAAUGUCAGUGGUUAAAAGGAGCUAAUAUCAACAUAUAGCAAAUAUGCACUUUUCCCAAUGAUCCAAACAUUUGGACACCAAACUCACAAAGCCCUGCUGAAAAUGCACCCUGCUUUUGUAACAUUAUGAGAGAUCUAAGGGGGACUGGUAGUACUACUUC